UGAUGUUGUCAACAUUUAUCUUGUAAUGAUCGCCUCUUAUACAUGGAAACAACUGCCCUGUCCCUACAAUUAAACACCCAAAGCUUUUGCUUGUUGUGAAGGGCCCUGUUAAAAUAUGCAUUGUGAUUAUCAUUUAAAUGAGAUGACUGUCA
RNAcentral lists this microRNA precursor (152 nucleotides) under Picea abies (Norway spruce). Its description in RNAcentral is "miR11403 stem-loop (pab-MIR11403)". Lineage: Eukaryota; Viridiplantae; Streptophyta; Pinopsida; Pinales; Pinaceae. The record is from miRBase by way of RNAcentral.